RNAcentral lists this ribosomal RNA (253 nucleotides) under uncultured bacterium. RNAcentral's name for it is "partial 16S ribosomal RNA". It matches the Rfam family "Bacterial small subunit ribosomal RNA", at positions 524 to 776 of the family's 1533-position model. The record is from RNAcentral.
UACAGAGGGGGCAAGCGUUAUUCGGAAUUAUUGGGCGUAAAGGGCGCGUAGGCGGCCUGGCAAGUGGAAGGUGAAAUCCCUCGGCUUAACCGAGGAACUGCCCUCCAAACUGCUUGGCUUGAGUCCGGGAGAGGUGAGUGGAAUUCCCAGUGUAGCGGUGAAAUGCGUAGAUAUUGGGAGGAACACCAGUGGCGAAGGCGGCUCACUGGACCGGAACUGACGCUGAGGCGCGAAAGCCAGGGGAGCAAACGGG